This 314-nucleotide ribosomal RNA is filed under the name uncultured Glomeromycotina. Its description in RNAcentral is "LSU rRNA". Lineage: Eukaryota; Fungi; Glomeromycota. The record is from RNAcentral.
UUGAAAGGGAAACGAUUGAAGUCAGUCGUGCGGUCAUCGAUUCAACGGUUUAAACGUGAGCUUCUGCUUAUGUUUUUCCGUGCAUUUUGGUGUCUGCUGGUCAGCAUCAAUUUCGAUUGUCAUAAAAAGGUCGAGGGGAUGUGGCUCCUUCGGGAGUGUUAUAACCCUUGGCGGAAUGUGGCGAUCGGGAUUGAGGUUUGCACGAUGACGGUUUCCUGGCCUCUCAUCGACGUCCGAAUGAUGGAAGCUUGCUGAAGUUGUUUGGACGUUGGCGAAAAGGUUGGAGCGACCUCAUCGUUAAGGAUGUUGACGUA